RNAcentral lists this non-coding RNA (24 nucleotides) under Arabidopsis thaliana (thale cress). Lineage: Eukaryota; Viridiplantae; Streptophyta; Magnoliopsida; Brassicales; Brassicaceae. The record is from RNAcentral.
GGUUGCAGUUUAAGUUCUUAUACU